RNAcentral lists this transfer RNA (71 nucleotides) under Cordylochernes scorpioides. Its description in RNAcentral is "tRNA-Gly". It matches the Rfam family "tRNA". Rfam says of the family: Transfer RNA (tRNA) molecules are approximately 80 nucleotides in length. Their secondary structure includes four short double-helical elements and three loops (D, anti-codon, and T loops). The record is from RNAcentral. Lineage: Eukaryota; Metazoa; Arthropoda; Arachnida; Pseudoscorpiones; Chernetidae.
GCAUCGGUGGUUCAGUGGUAAAAUUAUCGCCUACCACGCGAGCGGCCCGGGUUCGAUUCCCGGCCGAUGAU